This 1449-nucleotide ribosomal RNA is filed under the name Lactobacillus sp. RNAcentral's name for it is "bacterial SSU rRNA". It matches the Rfam family "Bacterial small subunit ribosomal RNA", at positions 1 to 1303 of the family's 1533-position model. The record is from RNAcentral. Lineage: Bacteria; Bacillati; Bacillota; Bacilli; Lactobacillales; Lactobacillaceae.
GGGGAUGCCUAUAAUGCAGUUCGAACGAAGUUCGCCCAAUUUGAUUCUAGUGCUUGCACUAAGAUGAUUAUUGGAUCCGACUGAGUGGCGAACUGGUGAGUAACACGUGGGUAACCUGCCCAGAAGAAGGGGAUAACACCUGGAAACAGAUGCUAAUACCGUAUAACAACAAGAACCACAUGGUUCUUGUUUGAAAGCUGGCCUUUGUGCUAGUGCUUCUGGAUGGACCCGCGGCGUAUUAGCUAGUUGGUGAGAUAAUAGCUCACCAAGGCAAUGAUACGUAGCAGACCUGAGAGGGUAAUCUGCCACAAUGGGACUGAGACACGGCCCAUACUCCUACGGGAGGCAGCAGUAGGGAAUCUUCCACAAUGGACGAAAGUCUGAUGGAGCAACGCCGCGUGAGUGAAGAAGGGUUUCGGCUCGUAAAACUCUGUUGUUAGAGAAGAACAGCCGUGAGAGCAACUGCUCACGGUAUGACGGUAUCUAACCAGAAAGUCACGGCUAACUACGUGCCAGCAGCCGCGGUAAUACGUAGGUGGCAAACGUUGUCCGGAUUUAUUGGGCGUAAAGGGAGCGCAGGCGGUUUAUUAAGUCUGAUGUGAAAGCCUUCGGCUUAACCGGAGAAGUGCAUCGGAAACUGAUAAACUUGAGUGCAGAAAAGGAUAGUGGAACUUCAUGUGUAGCGGUGAAAUGCGUAGAUAUAUGAAGGAACACCAGUGGCGAAGGCGGCUAUCUGGUCUGUAACUGACGCUGAGGCUCGAAAGCAUGGGUAGCAAACAGGAUUAGAUACCCUGGUAGUCCAUGCCGUAAACGAUGAAUGCUAGGUGUUUGGAAGGUUUCCGCCUUUCAGUGCCGCAGCUAACGCAUUAAGCAUUCCGCCUGGGGGAGUACGACCGCAAGGUUGAAACUCAAAGGAAUUGACGGGGACCCGCACAAGCGGUGGAACCAUGUGGUUUAAUUCGAUGCUACGCGAAGAACCUUACCAGGACUUGACAUCUUCUGCCAAUCUAAGAGAUUAGACGUUCCCUUCGGGGACAGAAUGACAGGUGGUUGCAUGGGUUGUCGUCAGCUCCUGUCCUGAAAAUGUUUGGGUUAAGUUCCCGCCAACCAACCGCAACCCCUUGUUCUUUAGUUGGCCAGCCAUUAAGUUGGGGCACUCCUAAAAAGGAACUGCCCGUUGAAUAAACCCGCAAGGAAAGGUUGGGGGAAUGAACGUCCGAAUGUUCCAUGGCCCCCUUAAGGCCCCGGGGCCUACCCACGUUGGCUGACAUGGGGCCAAAUACAAACCAGUUUGGCGGAAACCCGCCAAGGGUCAGACCCUAAAUUCCUUAGAAAGUCCGUUCUCCCCUUUUCCGGAAUUGGACAUUCCUGCCAAUCCCGAACUGGACUGGAAAAAUACGGAAACCCCCCCUGGUAAUUCUGUGUGAAAACCCAAUUUGCCCACCGGGG